Pelobates cultripes (western spadefoot toad) is the source of this 264-nucleotide non-coding RNA. The record is from the annotation of a GenBank genome assembly. Lineage: Eukaryota; Metazoa; Chordata; Amphibia; Anura; Pelobatidae.
UGGAACACUAGGUACAGGAAGUGGUUGCAACAAACCACAAGGAAGCUUAUGAGGGACUUUAGAAACAGCACAAACUGAACAAGCCUGCACAUAGUCCUUCACAUCGUUUUUAAGGGAAUCCCACUAAAAUGAUCUUGUGAUUGCAGUUAAGGAUUUAUUAAUACCUGGGUGUCCAGCAGUCACAUUGUCAUGGAACACCCUCAGCACAUUCUUUCUUUCACCUAAUGGAACAAACAAUUUGUCCAGUGGUUUAUUGCAUGGUGC